Molecule: ribosomal RNA, 303 nt
Filed under: uncultured bacterium
Lineage: Bacteria
Description: partial 16S ribosomal RNA
Rfam family: Bacterial small subunit ribosomal RNA
Source: RNAcentral
AGCAGUCGCCGCGGGAAUACCGAGGAUCCAAGCGUUAUCCGGAAUCAUUGGGUUUAAAGGGUCCGUAGGCGGUCUUGUAAGUCAGUGGUGAAAGCCCAUCGCUCAACGGUGGAACGGCCAUUGAUACUGCAGGACUUGAAUUAUUGGGAAGUAACUAGAAUAUGUAGUGUAGCGGUGAAAUGCUUAGAGAUUACAUGGAAUACCAAUUGCGAAGGCAGGUUACUACCAAUUGAUUGACGCUGAUGGACGAAAGCGUGGGUAGCGAACAGGAUUAGAUACCCGGGUAGUCCCUGUCUCUUAUAC